GACGAACGCUGGCGGCGUGCUUAACACAUGCAAGUCGAACGCUGAAGCUCAGCUUGCUGGGUGGAUGAGUGGCGAACGGGUGAGUAACACGUGAGUAACCUGCCCUCUUCUUUGGGAUAACGCCCGGCAACGGGUGCUAAUACUGGAUAUUCAAUGCUUCUCGCAUGGGGGUUGGUGGGAAGGUUUUUUCUGGUGGGGGAUGGGCUCGCGGCCUAUCAGCUUGUUGGUGGGGUGAUGGCGUACCAAGGCUUUGACGGGUAGCAGGCCUGAGAGGGUGACCGGUCACAUUGGGACUGGGACACGGCCCAGACUCCUACGGGAGGCAGCAGUGGUGAAUAUUGCACAAUGGGCGAAAGCCGGAUGCAGCGACGCCGCGUGAGGGAUGGAGGCCUUCGGGUUGUAAACCUCUUUCGCUCAUGGUCAAGCCGCAGCUUUGGGUUGUGGUGAGGGUAGUGGGUAAAGAAGCGCCGGCUAACUACGUG
This 482-nucleotide ribosomal RNA is filed under the name uncultured bacterium. Its description in RNAcentral is "partial 16S ribosomal RNA". It matches the Rfam family "Bacterial small subunit ribosomal RNA", at positions 28 to 507 of the family's 1533-position model. The record is from RNAcentral.